This 448-nucleotide long non-coding RNA is filed under the name Malus domestica (apple). RNAcentral describes it as "long non-coding RNA (MDOM_LNC020383)". The record is from RNAcentral. Lineage: Eukaryota; Viridiplantae; Streptophyta; Magnoliopsida; Rosales; Rosaceae.
UCACUGCCUUGCUAAUUAGAACCUAAAAGAUUGUUCACCAAUACACUAUUGUAGUGAGUAACUAAUGGAUGAAGGAAAUAAUUAAUUGGAUUAAUUAAGUGUUGUGAUUAAUUUAGAAAGUCUAAAGAAAUCAUAAAAGCGAUAAAGAUCAUUUUUGGCUUAAAGAAACGUUCGGGUUUAAUUGGGCCCAUUGGGCUUUUAUUCAAGCAUUGGAUGACUUGAAAUAAUAAAAGCCCAAAGCCCAAACAAACAACAAAGAGGCCGGCCAUUUUAGGUGUGGAAAGGGUGAGAUAUUUAGUCAAGUUGUUGGCUAGGUUUCUUUGUCUAUAUAAGGAACUUUAUAGUGAUAUUUUCCUUAGGGUUUUUGUGUGGUUAAAACAACAAAGAGGCAAAAGAAUAUCUCUCUAAGAACUACACAAAGGCCGGCCACCUUGGGGUGAUUUUACUA